RNAcentral lists this ribosomal RNA (485 nucleotides) under Schumannella luteola. RNAcentral's name for it is "partial 23S ribosomal RNA". It matches the Rfam family "Bacterial large subunit ribosomal RNA", at positions 1280 to 1663 of the family's 2925-position model. Lineage: Bacteria; Bacillati; Actinomycetota; Actinomycetes; Micrococcales; Microbacteriaceae. The record is from RNAcentral.
CCACACGAGUGAGAAUGCAGGCAUGAGUAGCGAAAGACGUGUGAGAAACACGUCCUCCGAAAGACCAAGGGUUCCAGGGUCAAGCUAAUCUUCCCUGGGUAAGUCGGGACCUAAGGCGAGGCCGACAGGCGUAGUCGAUGGACAACGGGUUGAUAUUCCCGUACCGGCGAAGAACCGCCCAAGCUAAUCCAGUGGUGCUAAGAGUCCUAAUCCGGCAGAUGGAUCCCUUCGGGGUGAAGCAGCCGGCCUAACGCUCGACCCCAUGCUGGUGCGGCUAGCGUAUUAACAGGUGUGACGCAGGAAGGUAGCCGAGCCAGGCGAUGGUUGUCCUGGUGUAAGGACGUAGGGCGAGAGAUAGGCAAAUCCGUCUCUCACAUAGCCUGAGAUCUGACGCAUACCCCUCACGGGGGAAUUCGGUGAUCCUAUGCUGCCGAGAAAAGCAUCGACGCGAGGUUCCAGCCGCCCGUACCCCAAACCGACUCAGG